GCCUGAUGCAGUAGCUCACGCCUGUAGUCCCAGCUACUUGGGAGGCUGAGACAGGAGGAUCUCUUGAGUCCAGGAGUUCUGGGCGGUAGUGUGCUAUGCUGAUCAGGUGUCCUCACUAAGUUUGGCAUCAAUAUAGUGACCUCCCAGGAGUGUGGGGGGAGGUGCACCAGGUUGCCUGAGGAGGGGUAAGCCAGCCCUGGUUGGAAAUGGAACAGAUCAAAACUUCCAUGAUUAGUAGUGGGGUUGCGCCUGGGAAUAGGGACUACACUCCAGCCUAGGCAACAUAGCAAGAUCUCAUUUCUA
Otolemur garnettii (small-eared galago) is the source of this 303-nucleotide non-coding RNA. The record is from Rfam. Lineage: Eukaryota; Metazoa; Chordata; Mammalia; Primates; Galagidae.